CAUAAAAAUUUAUAAUAGAAUUUUAUUUUUUAGUCAAAAAGCUAAAAUAUAUUUAAAAGACGAGAAGACCCUAUAAAUCUUUAUAUUUAGAUUAUUAUAAUUUUAUAGAUUUUUUUUAUUAUAAUAAUCAAUGAUAUUUUAUUGGGGUGAUAUUAAAAUUUAAUAAACUUUUAAUUGUUAAAAUCAUUAAUUUAUGAAUAAUUGAUCCGUUAUUAGCGAUUAAAAAAAUAAGUUACCUUAGGGAUAACAG
RNAcentral lists this ribosomal RNA (250 nucleotides) under Aldrichina grahami. RNAcentral's name for it is "partial 16S ribosomal RNA". The record is from RNAcentral. Lineage: Eukaryota; Metazoa; Arthropoda; Insecta; Diptera; Calliphoridae.